GAAAUGCGAUAAGUAAUGUGAAUUGCAGAAUUCAGUGAAUCAUCGAAUCUUUGAACGCACAUUGCGCCCGCCAGUAUUCUGGCGGGCAUGCCUGUUCGAGCGUCAUUUCAACCAUCAAGCCCCCGGCUUGUGUUGGGGACCUGCGGCUGCCCGCAGGCCCUGAAAAACAGUGGCGGGCUCGCUGUCACACCGAGCGUAGUAGCAUACAUUCUCGCUCAGGGCGUGCUGCGGGUUCCGGCCGUUAAACGACCUUCAUAACCCAAGGUUGACCUCGGAUCAGUUAGGAAGACCCGCUGAACUUAAGC
This 305-nucleotide unclassified non-coding RNA is filed under the name plant metagenome. RNAcentral's name for it is "partial contains 5.8S ribosomal RNA, internal transcribed spacer 2, and large subunit ribosomal RNA". The stretch from base 1 to 105 matches the Rfam family "5.8S ribosomal RNA", at positions 50 to 154 of the family's 154-position model. The record is from RNAcentral.